AAGCGAGGACGACCUCCCCAGACCUCUGGGACGACUGUUCGGGACGACCCGA
Molecule: non-coding RNA, 52 nt
Filed under: Paramesorhizobium deserti
Lineage: Bacteria; Pseudomonadati; Pseudomonadota; Alphaproteobacteria; Hyphomicrobiales; Phyllobacteriaceae
Description: Guanidine-II sequence
Rfam family: Guanidine-II riboswitch aptamer (mini-ykkC)
About the family: Simpler in structure and has fewer highly conserved nucleotide positions than the ykkC-yxkD leader.
Source: Rfam by way of RNAcentral